GACGAACGCUGGCGGCAUGCCUAACACAUGCAAGUCGAGCGAGUUGAUCCCUUCGGGGUGAAGCUAGCGGCGGACGGGUGAGUAACACGUGGGCAACCUGCCUCAUAGAGGGGAAUAGCCUUCCGAAAGGAAGAUUAAUACCGCAUAAGAUUGUAGCUUCGCAUGAAGUAGCAAUUAAAGGAGCAAUCCGCUAUGAGAUGGGCCCGCGGCGCAUUAGCUAGUUGGUGAGGUAACGGCUCACCAAGGCGACGAUGCGUAGCCGACCUGAGAGGGUGAUCGGCCACAUUGGGACUGAGACACGGCCCAGACUCCUACGGGAGGCAGCAGUGGGGAAUAUUGCACAAUGGGGGAAACCCUGAUGCAGCAAUGCCGCGUGAGUGAUCACGGCCUUCGGGUUGUAAAGCUCUGUCUUCGGGGACGAUAAUGACGGUACCCGAGGAGGAAGCCACGGCUAACUACGUGCCAGCCGCCGCGGUAA
RNAcentral lists this ribosomal RNA (478 nucleotides) under uncultured bacterium. RNAcentral's name for it is "partial 16S ribosomal RNA". It matches the Rfam family "Bacterial small subunit ribosomal RNA", at positions 28 to 523 of the family's 1533-position model. The record is from RNAcentral.